Molecule: ribosomal RNA, 304 nt
Filed under: Pseudomonas sp. JV414
Lineage: Bacteria; Pseudomonadati; Pseudomonadota; Gammaproteobacteria; Pseudomonadales; Pseudomonadaceae
Description: partial 16S ribosomal RNA
Rfam family: Bacterial small subunit ribosomal RNA
Source: RNAcentral
GAACUGAAGAGUUUGAUCAUGGCUCAGAUUGAACGCUGGCGGCAGGCCUAACACAUGCAAGUCGAGCGGUAGAGAGGUGCUUGCACCUCUUGAGAGCGGCGGACGGGUGAGUAAUGCCUAGGAAUCUGCCUGGUAGUGGGGGAUAACGCUCGGAAACGGACGCUAAUACCGCAUACGUCCUACGGGAGAAAGCAGGGGACCUUCGGGCCUUGCGCUAUCAGAUGAGCCUAGGUCGGAUUAGCUAGUUGGUGAGGUAAUGGCUCACCAAGGCGACGAGCCGUAACUGGUCUGAGAGGAUGAUCAG